This is a small nuclear RNA of Phyllopteryx taeniolatus (common seadragon), 190 nucleotides long. RefSeq annotates it as U2 spliceosomal RNA. The record is from RefSeq and is a predicted model, not a curated record. NCBI's taxonomy places the organism in Eukaryota, Metazoa, Chordata, Actinopteri, Syngnathiformes, Syngnathidae. The transcript has a single exon.
AUCGCUUCUGUGCGUUUUGGCUAAGAUCAAGUCUAGUAUCUGGUCUUAUCAGUUUAAUAUCUGAUACGUCCCCUAUCCGUGGCCAUAUAUUAAAUUGAUUUUUAAAGCUAGGAGAUGGAAUAGGGGCUUGCUCCGUCCACUUCACGCAUUGAUCUGGUAUUACAGUACCUCCGGGAACGGUGCACCCCCA